This 440-nucleotide ribosomal RNA is filed under the name uncultured bacterium. RNAcentral's name for it is "partial 16S ribosomal RNA". It matches the Rfam family "Bacterial small subunit ribosomal RNA", at positions 338 to 795 of the family's 1533-position model. The record is from RNAcentral.
CCUACGGGUGGCUGCAGUGGGGAAUAUUGCACAAUGGGGGAAAGCCUGAUGCAGCGACGCAGCGUGAGUGAAGACGUCUUUCGGUAUGUAAAGCUCUAUCAGCAGGGGAGUUAAUGACGGUACCUGACUAAUUAGCUCCGGAUAACUACGUGACAGCAGCCGCGGUAAUACGUAGGGGGCAAGCGUUAUCCGGAUUUACUGGGUGUAAAGGGAGCGUAGGUGGAAUGGCAAGUCAGAUGUGAAAAUCCGGGGCUCAACCCCGGGAGUGCAUUUGAAACUGUCCAGCUGGAGUACAGUAGAGGUGAGCGGAAUUCCUAGUGUAGCGGUGAAAUGCUUAGAUAUUAGGAGGAACACCAGUGGCGAAGGCGGCUCACUGGACUGUAACUGACACUGAGGCUCGAAAGCGUGGGGAGCAAACAGGAUUAGAUACCCCGGUAGUC